UACGUAGGGACCGAGCGUUGUCCGGAAUCAUUGGGCGUAAAGAGCGUGUAGGCGGCCUUUUAAGUCCUGCGUGAAAUCCUGCGGCUCAACCGCAGACGGUCGUGGGAAACUGGAAGGCUAGAGUGCGGGAGAGGAGAGUGGAAUUCCCGGCGUAGCGGUGAAAUGCGCAGAUAUCGGGAGGAACACCGGUGGCGAAGGCGGUUCUCUGGGCCCGUACUGACGCUGAGGAGCGAAAGCGUGGGGAGCAAACAGG
RNAcentral lists this ribosomal RNA (253 nucleotides) under uncultured bacterium. Its description in RNAcentral is "partial 16S ribosomal RNA". It matches the Rfam family "Bacterial small subunit ribosomal RNA", at positions 524 to 776 of the family's 1533-position model. The record is from RNAcentral.